AGAACGAACGCUGGCGGCAGGCCUAACACAUGCAAGUCGAGCGCUCCGCAAGGAGAGCGGCGCACGGGAGAGUAACACGUGGGAACCUACCUUUUGGUUCGGAAUAACGUCGGGAAACUGACGCUAAUACCGGAUAAGCCCUUCGGGGGAAAGAUUUAUUGCCGAAAGAUGGGCCCGCGUUGGAUUAGCUAGUUGGUGAGGUAAUGGCUCACCAAGGCAACGAUCCAUAGCUGGUCUGAGAGGAUGAUCAGCCUCACUGGGACUGAGACACGGCCCAGACUCCUACGGGAGGCAGCAGUGGGGAAUAUUGGACAAUGGGGGCAACCCUGAUCCAGCCAUGCCGCGUGAAUGAUGAAGGCCUUCGGGUUGUAAAGUUCUUUUGGCGGGUACGAUGAUGACGGUACCGCAGAAUAAGCUCCGGCUAACUUCGCGCCAGCAGCCGC
Molecule: ribosomal RNA, 443 nt
Filed under: uncultured bacterium
Lineage: Bacteria
Description: SSU rRNA
Rfam family: Bacterial small subunit ribosomal RNA
Source: RNAcentral